CGUCUAGCUACCACACGGACGGCGACCACGACGCGACGACACAGUCCGCAUCCAUCGGCGAAAAGGGACGUAGGGGAGGGGAUCCAUUGGCGGGGCGGAGGCCGCGGCGUCCACCGGCGGCAAGGGGGCGGCGGCGCCUAGCUUUCUCCCUCCAUCUCUCACUCACUGCAGCCGCUGCGGCUCAGGUCCUCCCUGAUGUGCUCUCUCUCAUGUCCAUGUCAGCGAUACCUUCUGCAGCUGCUGAUCGAGAUAAGAGAAAAGAUGCAAGGUUCAGAUUAGUACUCCAGUAGCUUGUGGGAGUUGGCACGGUGGGACAUGGGAGAGCAUUAGGGAAGUUAGCGCAGUCCAGCCGUGGCUAUGAUGCACGUCUCUUGGCAAAAUUCGAGAUAAGUUUUCUUUUCAAGUGCAUUUGAUUAAUUCUCCCGUAGGAGUAUAUAUUUAAUUUUAAGAAGUACAAGUAAUUGUUCGUAGUAUAAAAAGUGAAUAAUGAGGCUGGAGCUAUGUGUGCACCAUGUUCUGUUUAACUUUGUUUGCAGCUUAAAGUUUAGAUAGUUGCGUUGAUAAUUUUAUGUAUGAUCUUGCUCAUCUUCUGAAACCAGUCAUUUUCUGAAAUCUGUUUGCUAAAAAAUUUCAGUAGCUAGCAGCCUUGGACGCCAAAACAGAACUGUAAUAACCGGAUCUUGAACUUCAGUUGUGCCCACGUAUGUGUCGUGACCAUAGCCUGAUCGCUUCAUGGGAUCUGUUUCUGUUGCGAGACCAGGAGACUACGCUACGUGUGAUUCUUUGAAAUCAAUGGAAAGUUAAGUACGCGUUUGCUGUUGAGCAUUAAACAAUUCCAUUUUCCUGAAAAUAAUUUUCAAUUCUAAUCAUUUUCGCGGUACUGUAGGAGAUGCUGUUUUUUGAAUGGCUCUUUUGAUUGCUGCACUUUUUAGCAUAUGAUUUACAGAUAUACACGAAUUAUUGUGUUUUGUAUAGGACUUAGAUCUCAGGGAGCAUAAGCGUCUCAAAGGGAGCUUUAGGCAGAAGCUGUUCAGGGUACUGUACAGUUUGCUUACACAUUCAGAUUUUAUUGGUGAGAGCCAUGCUUAUGACUAUCCGUCGUCUUUCAAGAGAUUCCAUUUGAUUGUUUGUGUGCUCUUAUGUAAUUAGAGUGCAAGGAUAAUUUACUUUCAACAUGUUUGGCCCGUGAGACACAAGCAUUUUUCAAUGUUGUUUCUUAUGAGAUAUGGUAUCAAUACUCACCGUGAUGUAAGAACUGUAAAAUUGUUAUUGUUGUGUGCUUCCUUUUUAUCUUUCAUGUUGGGUGUCUGAUGAGUUGAUUAUAAGGCAGUCAGGUUAGGUGUGCAUGGCUUUAACUAAAUUAUAUUGCAAUGUGCAUAGAAUGCAUGAGGAACAUCAACCUUCUUAAAAUUUGUUUCUACAUACCUAUGAUUGCGUUCUGUAGUAUAAUAUUUAACUUGCAGUAUUAUAUUUGUUUGCUUCUUUCUCCCAAAUUUUAUGCAGAUUGCAAUUUCAAUUGAUGAUGGACUAUACAUUAGAAAUUACUAGAUGAGUACUUCUCCCGUUGUAUUGCGAAGAACAUCCCUAAUUAACAAAGAAAAUGCUAAAUAGACAACUGCAACUCAUUUGUAUUUACUUCUUAAUGUUCCUGGACAGAGUAUUUUGAAACAUGUUAAUAUCAAUGCGUGUGUAGGUUGAGAUACGCAUUUGCUCCAUGGCGUCGUAUGUAUCAGUUUAUUAGAGUGAUGCUUCCCCAUUUUGGUGUUGUUUUUCAAUUCACUUAUUCAAGUUUUGUUCGCUUUGGUCCUAGCAAAUAAAACUUCUGUUUUGUACCAGCUAAAUUGAUUGUCUAUUGUCGAAUUUCAUGUAGAGGAUGGCAUGUCGGUGCAUUCUUCUCUCGGGCACCCUUUGCUCUUUGGGGCUGCAAGUUACCGGGCCGCGAGUGUUGCCUUGAAGCUUCGCAAGACCAGCAAUAAAAAAAGGGAGAUUAUUUCGAAUUGAUUUUUUUCCAUCAACCAAUUAAAUAGUAUGUGCAGAGAUGUUACCAAGGUCAGCUUUCUGUACGCACACUCAGCAACACCAACACGUCGAACAUGUCGAGUAUGUCUAGCCAGAUGUUGUGAACUCUCACCGGUUGAGUGCAGAUGUUACAAGCAUUUUGGAUUCUUGCACAACUCACAAGUUGUGCCUAAUGGAGAUUAUGGAAUAGUGGUAGUGAACACUGCCCAGUUUUUUUGCUAAUGCACUGUACAUACAUAGACAAAGCUAAGUAGUACUACAUAUAUUUCAUAAGUUCCCGUUCCUAUCCUGCACUUAAGCUGCUUUUCACAAUUUACUGAUAAUUGCGCUGAUAACCGGAAAUCUGGGGAGACAUUUGUUCUGGUGCAGACAAAAUAGCUAGGUUGUACAUGAAGUUCCUAUAUCUACUGGAGAGUUAAACAAUGGCAAAAAAGAAACUCUAGACCUUAUAGUUCUGUUUGAACAUAGGUGGUUCACCUCUUCUUUGAAUCUAUCUAUAAUAUCUAAAUUGGAGCAACGCACUAAAAGUAAUUCUCUCAACAUGCAAGCAUGCCACAUCAUCUUCACCAGUUUCAAUUUGAUUGUAAGCCACGUCAGCUACGUCCUAUCUAUUUCUUUUAUUUAUUUCGUUAUUUUUAGUAGCAAAUCAUCAUCCUUUUUCCAGAGAUUUUUUUAGACGCUAUGCUAGAGGCUGUGCUCCUUCAUCUUCUUCAGAGUUAUCUCACUUUAUGGACGCUGAAACUGCAAAUACCGGGAACACAUGGGUUCCCUAUUCAUCUUCUCCACCAAAUUAAUGCAAAGGGUAAGUGAAACGAAUGGAUCUGCUCUAGCGUUUAAGUACUGUAGCUGAUCCAUUCCCGUUAUCUUCACCACAAUUUCACAAGGAGGCCUCGACUCCCGUCGCCUUCUGGUGUUGCCCGUCCAUGCUGGAGCUGGACCAGAUGUUGUAGCCAUCGAUCUCCCUCCUAUAUUUGGGUAUCAGGCUAUCAGCCUUAGAUUAAGAGCAGCGACCGCUCCUCUACAAGAACCUCCUUUCGGGUAUGUGCCCUCACACAUUGAUACAUGCAGUAUCGACUCAUCAACAUGCAGAUGCAAUUGACCUUUGAUAGAGUGCAGCCAGGAGAUGUGAGAAGUCAAGUUUUACUCCGCCACAAGUCUUCUGAUGGUCUAUCGGUGCCACUAAUUAUUUCUCUUUAUAUGUUUUCAAGGUUAGCAGUAGCACAGCGUUUUAAUAAAUAGACCCACUGCAUCUUGCUUAUCUAUACAGACUCAUAUUCAUGAAGGGUGUUGCUAUCUUGAAUUUGGCAAUUUGCUGCCUGAUAGCAACGUGGUAUAAAAAUCUGGCAUCUCUAUCUUUCAAGUGCUCAAUUAUUUAUUUCAGAAGUAUAUGUGGGACUAUUUUCCAAAUCAAGUAAUUCAUGUGCAAUUUCCAUUGUAAUUAGUUUCCACCUGUGGUCUGUCUCAUCACUUCCUACAAAUCUUCUGUAUUCUUCAUAUAUCUAAUCUGCUAUGUAUCUAAGCUGAUAUUUAACGAAAUUAUAACUGUUUAUAAUGACUCAAUUAGCAUUUAGCAAUGAACAUGUAUAUUGUUAUUUUGAUAAAGAUUAACAUGUAUAUAUGUAGCUCAAUAGAGUCAGUUGCCUUCUUUCAUCAUUCAGCAAUCUGAGGUACUUCAUCUUAUUUAUCAGAGACACUUUUUUUGUUUUCAGUAUUAUGGUAAUUGUGCGUGCUAAUUCGCUUAUCUACAUAACCAGCAGUAGAAGAUUGGUACAUAAUGGCAUGCAGAAUGAGAUAGAUGUAGCGGGUCAACUUGGUAGGCAUUUAUAUAUGAGGCUGAUGUUCAUGUGUAUGGAGCAUGUGGAGCAGGAGGACUUCAUUUUUUUGUUCAUACCGUACCUUCUUAAAAGCUAAGUUGGCUACAUUCAAAAUUAUCUUUGCCGAAAGAAACAUUUAUUGUUGGAUUAGUAAAUUUGAUCUGAACCGAGUUUGUUGUACAAAGAUAUGUGUGUGGUCGAAAAGUAAAUUCCACUCUAUGAUAAUAAACAUAGUCGAGUAAGAAAUGGGUUUUAUAACACUAUAUUGAUAUUUGUUGCCUUUACACAUUCGGAAUCUAAAUGUGCAAUGCCUACACUUCCAACAUUGUUUCAUUCACAAUUAUCUUAUUUAUCCUUCCCCAGAAAUAGUUAUUCUCCUUAUCUUUACCACAUGCACUAAUAUGUAAAAGUUUGUUCUUUACAAUAUAAUUUGCUACUGAUCCGCAGCAACGCAUGGAGAAUCAUCUAGUUCUAUUAACACAAGAAGCAGCAACUUCAAACAGGAGAACAUAAAAUAAAGUGUUGUAAUAAAAGAAUGCUGUUUUUCUAACUCAUUAAUUUAAGAAAGAAGAAAAGAAAACUUAGAUGGUGUUGGGAGUUGUAAGGAGAUUUUUAUAUUUGGAAUAUAUGUUCAAUGAUGGAAGAUUGUUCUUAUAAUACAGAAAUAGAGCGAGAUCGUCUCCAAAGUAUAUUUUAGAUGGAGUACCAAUUAGGAAUUAACUGGAUUAAUAAUCUUUUGCAAAUGGAUAAUAUUUCAGCAGCCAAGCACUGAAAUUUCUUGAUGGAAUUCCUAUUGCUUGCAAUAUUUUGAGAAACUGGACAUUAUAUGCAGUUGAAGCACUCAAAGGUACUGAUGCAAUUUAAAUUUGCACCAACUUCUUACAGCUGAAAACUACUACUCAAUUCUACCUGCUUGCAAUAUUCUAAUAUAUGUUCCCUCGCUACCAGGUCAAUUCUCUCAGAUGAUCCUCUCAAGCCAGCCAAUCCACAAUAGUUGACACAUCUUAAUGACCAAUUAAUCAAGAAAGAAGUUCCUACCAUGUUACCAACUAAUGCCAAAUUUAAAUUUGCCAUGCCAAUUUGGGAGAGUAAAUGUUGUCGGUUUUUAUAUAUGGCCAGACCAUGUAGUGCAUCCGCCAUAGAGUUGGUCAUCUCUGCAUGAGCAUGCAAAAGAAACUUGGUAGAGACAGUAACUAGUUUCCUACUUCAUUGUGAGUUUUUACAAGAUAGUCAAUUUAUUUAGUUUUAUAUAUCCAGUACUGUUCUCAUGGUCCAUUUGGCAUUACUGUCAUGUCAGUGGCCUUGCCAGAAAUAAUAUUGUACAUGCAGUUUGUAUUCCAUUAAGCUGUUUUCAACA
Non-coding RNA from Lolium perenne, 5190 nucleotides. NCBI's taxonomy places the organism in Eukaryota, Viridiplantae, Streptophyta, Magnoliopsida, Poales, Poaceae. The record is from RefSeq and is a predicted model, not a curated record.